This 356-nucleotide ribosomal RNA is filed under the name uncultured bacterium. RNAcentral describes it as "bacterial SSU rRNA". It matches the Rfam family "Bacterial small subunit ribosomal RNA", at positions 450 to 793 of the family's 1533-position model. The record is from RNAcentral.
UAAUGGUUUAAUAGCAAUACUCAUUUGACGUUAGCUGCAGAAGAAGCACCGGCUAACUCCGUGCCAGCAGCCGCGGUAAUACGGAGGGUGGCGAGCGUUUAAUCGGAAUUACUGGGCGUAAAGCGCAUGCAGGUGGUUUGUUAAGUCAGGAUAGUGAAAGCCCGGGGCUCAAACCUCGGAAUUGCAUUUGAAAACUGGCAAACUAGAGUACUGUAGAGGGGGUAGGAAUUUCAGGUGUAGCGGUGAAAUAGCGUAGAGAUCUGAAGGAAUACCGGUGGCGAAGGCGGCCCCCUGGACAGAUACUGACACUCAGAUGCGAAAGCGUGGGGAGCAAACAGGAUUAGAUACCCUGGUAG